UCUCUGCUUAAAGCUCUCUUCUCUGGGGGAUUUUUAUGGUGAACCUAGAUCCUUGAAGAUGGGAGCUUGAUCCAAGGCCUGCAGGAGCUGGUGGAAAUCUCCCAGCCGAUGUGAUGUUGCACUAAGCUAGGGAGGAAUGCCCCACUCCUUCACUCUUUCCUGAAGUCAAGAUGCCUGCUUUAAAACUUCAGGAUGCUCCAUUCCCAUAAUUGCGCAGCCACAGCAGAGAUUGGGAAACACCACCAUGCUCCAGGCACAGUAUGUUUCAAACUGUUUGUCUUGUAGGACUUGAAGGCAUUGAUGUUCUGCUGAGUUCCUUCGUCAUGUAACAAGGACUGGGUACUGCCAAAGUUAUGGACUCUCUUUCCAGUGGGAGCUGAUCAGACUUGAAAUGAGUUACAGAGCUUUGCUGUCUCUCUUAGAAGACAGAAGACUGUAGGAAAUAGUCCAAGUGAACAGGAAUAUGACUGGCAGUUGCUGCAGCUCUGCAUGAGCCUGGGAAGGGAUGGUUAUCCCGACUUCAGAAUGAAUUACAAAGAAGCACGUGGCUGGAAGAAAAUGUGAUCAGAGCCAACGUGCUAUUUUGGAGCAUGCCUAAGGUGCUGUGCUGUUCCUUGUGGGGUAGUAAUGAGCGGCCCAGCGGUGGGAUAAGUAACUACAUCUCUGAGUCACUGCUUUGAGGCCCAUGCAACAUGUCUGGCAAAAUUUCUGCACACUCUCUUCCCAGCAUUCCUGAAGAAUGAUUCCUUUUCAUAAAGUUCAGUUGGAACAUACGUCUUCUAAAGGUAUAAGAUGUUGAAAAUGUUGUCUUGGCAAUGGAAUACAAAAUCAUUGGUCUGUUAAUCCGUGCAGAAAGCUGUAGGCUGGCAUAUGGACUGUCUAAGUAUGUAACUUGAUUUCAGUGUGUAUGAUUAGAAAUGUAUAACUGAAUGUUUUCAGAGUCCACAAUCAUGUGUUCAGCCAAGGCUAGCAACUAGGCUCUAUACUAUAUUAAUUACCAGAAGCUGUGGAAAGACAGAAUUUGCUCGCUGAUUGCAUAAACUAAUAAAAUAGGCGUACUUGUAGCUUGGAUUUGUCUUGUGUAAAGCUGCUAAAUUUGUUUAUUGCCAUCUCCUGGGAUUAGACCAAAUAGUUUUAAGGAGUCACAAUUGAAUUAAAAUCCACAGGAAAAACAGAUUUGAUGUUUUUGUCUGUGAUCAUGACCAUAUCGUUGUUCAGGUUCAGUGAACAUGCAUGUAUUUCAUCUAUUUAUGUUUAAAUAAUGUGCACAUCUCUUAUGAUAUACUUGUGGAGGAAAACAAAAUAUCCAAAAUACUACUUCUGCCUUUUUUUAUGUGAUAUCUCUUAGUGAUUCUUAUUAGUAUGGAAAAUGUGUGACAGAGCUAUCAUCACAAUGUCUUGAGCAAAGAUGAGCUAUUACUGCAGCAACAGCACACGUGAGUGUGUGAUAAAGUAUGCUUAUUAAAAGAGCAGAUUGUGUGAAAAUGGGGAAAAAAACAUUGUUUGUAUACGACUGUUCUGUAUGUAGCAGAUCUGAGUAAUGCCGGUCUCUCAUUCUGUCCUCACAAAGGUUACCAUUUCCCUGGUUACACUGAUUAAAGUCUAAGCCAUUUCUGAAGAAUCUG
Long non-coding RNA from Gallus gallus (chicken), 1625 nucleotides. The record is from Ensembl. Lineage: Eukaryota; Metazoa; Chordata; Aves; Galliformes; Phasianidae.